This 496-nucleotide ribosomal RNA is filed under the name uncultured bacterium. Its description in RNAcentral is "partial 16S ribosomal RNA". It matches the Rfam family "Bacterial small subunit ribosomal RNA", at positions 29 to 507 of the family's 1533-position model. The record is from RNAcentral.
AUGAACGCUGGCGGCGUGCCUCAUCCAUGCCAGUCGAGCGAACAGACGAGGAGCUUGCUCCUCUGACGUUAGCGGCGGACGGGUGAGUAACACGUGGAUAACCUACCUAUAAGACUGGGAUAACUUCGGGAAACCGGAGCUAAUACCGGAUAAUAUAUUGAACCGCAUGGUUCAAUAGUGAAAGACGGUUUUGCUGUCACUUAUAGAUGGAUCCGCGCCGCAUUAGCUAGUUGGUAAGGUAACGGCUUACCAAGGCAACGAUGCGUAGCCGACCUGGGAGGGUGAUCGGCCACACUGGAACUGAGACACGGUCCAGACUCCUACGGGAGGCAGCAGUAGGGAAUCUUCCGCAAUGGGCGAAAGCCUGACGGAGCAACGCCGCGUGAGUGAUGAAGGUCUUCGGAUCGUAAAACUCUGUUAUUAGGGAAGAACAAAUGUGUAAGUAACUAUGCACGUCUUGACGGUACCUAAUCAGAAAGCCACGGCUAACUACGUG